Molecule: long non-coding RNA, 717 nt
Filed under: Vombatus ursinus (common wombat)
Lineage: Eukaryota; Metazoa; Chordata; Mammalia; Diprotodontia; Vombatidae
Description: lncRNA (ENSVURG00010012083.1)
Source: RNAcentral
ACGGAAGGCCUCAAUGCCCUCUGGGAAAUGUAGUCCAACUAUCACGUGGGCGGCCCAAGAGCGGAGACUCCAUUUCCCGAAAUGCCUCCAGAGAUCCCGCGUUGGAGCCAGAAUGGCCGCUCUAGGCCAUCCCAUUCGGCUUUUCGCAGAGCCUGAUGCAUUGUGGUCAUUGUUCCUCUUACCAUUGGAAUGCCAAGCAGCCGUCCCUCCUUAAAGCUGCAGGGCAGCGCCUGAUGGAAAGGAACCAGUCCUGGAGCUUCUGGGGAUCCAGCAAGUCUUGACCAUCUGGCGGAGUAGAGAGCAUUGGCAUGAAGUCAUAACGGUCAGCGAGCGAGGAGGAGGUGACCACGGAAGACUUGGCCUUCACCUCUGGGGAGAGAGAUAAGCUUCUUCAAGACUUUCCCCUUCCCCAAAACAAGAGAAUGGAGGAUGAGGAGGAAAUGAUUGCUGGGCUUGUCACGGCCAGGGCUCAGGAAUCGGUGUCAUUCAGGGAUGUUGCCAUACACUUCACCCAGGAGGAAUGGAGCCAUCUUCAUCCAGCUCAGAAGGACCUGUACCGGCGUGUGAUGCAGGAGAACUAUGAGAACCUCGUCUCACUGGGUAAGGGGGGCUCUGGCCUUGGACGCAGAACCUCUGGCCAAAAAGCUUAGCUGAGGUUGGGCUGCCUCGUCAGGGCUAUUCGAGAGCUCGGGGCAUGUGGAGAGAAUCCCAGAUCCC